RNAcentral lists this ribosomal RNA (320 nucleotides) under uncultured bacterium. Its description in RNAcentral is "bacterial SSU rRNA". It matches the Rfam family "Bacterial small subunit ribosomal RNA", at positions 470 to 789 of the family's 1533-position model. The record is from RNAcentral.
UGACGGUACCUCUUGAAUAAGCUCCGGCUAACUACGUGCCAGCAGCCGCGGUAAUACGUAUGGAGCAAGCGUUAUCCGGAUUUACUGGGUGUAAAGGGAGCGUAGGCGGAAGGCUAAGUCUGAUGUGAAAACCCAGGGCUCAACCUUGGGACUGCAUUGGAAACUGGUUUUCUAGAGUGUCGGAGGGGUAAGUGGAAUUCCUAGUGUAGCGGUGAAAUGCGUAGAUAUUAGGAGGAACACCAGUGGCGAAGGCGGCUUACUGGACGACAACUGACGCUGAGGCUCGAAAGCGUGGGGAGCAAACAGGAUUAGAUACCCUG